RNAcentral lists this transfer RNA (84 nucleotides) under Cricetulus griseus (Chinese hamster). It matches the Rfam family "tRNA", at positions 1 to 62 of the family's 71-position model. From Rfam's summary of the family: Transfer RNA (tRNA) molecules are approximately 80 nucleotides in length. Their secondary structure includes four short double-helical elements and three loops (D, anti-codon, and T loops). Lineage: Eukaryota; Metazoa; Chordata; Mammalia; Rodentia; Cricetidae. The record is from Rfam by way of RNAcentral.
GGGGGUGUAGCUUGGUUGGUGAAGUGCCUGCCUGGUAUGCAGGAGACCCUGGGUUGGAUCUGGGGGUGAAUGCCUGCAAUCCCA